Strigops habroptila (Kakapo) is the source of this 1111-nucleotide long non-coding RNA. RefSeq lists it as uncharacterized. The transcript has 2 exons. The record is from RefSeq and is a predicted model, not a curated record. Lineage: Eukaryota; Metazoa; Chordata; Aves; Psittaciformes; Psittacidae.
GGCACAGCCGGCGGGUUCGGCCGGUAGAGCCGUGACCGAGGUUUGAGCGCCCCGGGGUGGUUGCGUGCGGGGGGGAAGCGCCAAGAGCCGGGGUCGUUGCGGGAUGGCCUCUCCUGGGGCUCCCGCCCCGUGUGUCCCAUGGGUGCUGCUCCCUGUUCGGGCGUGCCUAGCGCUGAGGGCAGGUACAACGUGGAAGGGGUGUCCCUGCUUGGGCCGGGCAGUGCCCCCCGGCUGCUUUAGUGCUCCCUGUGCUUUCCCCAAUGGCUCUUCCCAGUGCCAGCAGUCCCGCAGCUGCCUCGGAAGGUGCGGGAUGUAAACCCGGGGCAUUUCCCAUCUGGAGAAAGUUUGAAAGGGGAAGUUGAGCCUUCGUUUUUCAUUAGGUUGCGCCGCGUUAUGGCAGAUCCUGUUUUCGUGUUAAUUAGGUGCUGUUCAUUUUCUUCAUUACUUGCUGCCGCACCUAGAAUUUAUAUUCAUCUGCUUCAAUCGUGUGUGCCUGGUUAAAUUCUAAACAGUUACUCGUUCAGAAAGGAAAUUAUUACCUCGCACUGCCAGGGCUCCCACUUUGCCUUAAUUUCCCUGGAGCCUCGUUUACUUCUCUCCGCUUUCUUUCUUUCCUGCUCUCUGGGUCCCCCCGGGCUCGCUGGGAGCUCGUGCCACGUUCACACCACCGACAUCUCACUCCAUGCACCAGGCACCCUCUGGCCCUCGACCUGCAGCAGGUGCCAAUGGCUCAGGUAUUGCCCUGCACAGCCCAGACCCAAGAAACCACGAGCCUGGCAUGGUGGUCCAGGACACAUCAAUGUUCCUGCAAACAAGCACCACGUUGCUGCAGCCAUGGAGCAUCUGAGGCUGCACAGAGAGGGAGGGGAACAGCCAAUACCAGCACCACGGUUGGUACUGAACACACUGGGCUUGGGCCAUGGUCUUGCUUCACCGCUGUGGCUGGAUGCUCAGACAGGGCACAUGCAGCAGGCAGAACAGCACCAGGCUCUUGGCCGGGAGAGGUGUUCAGCACCUCCUCCAGGCUGCCACAGAAGGGGAAUUGUAGCUACAAACUUCCCCGUGAAGAGAAUCGUUGUGCUUUUGAAACAGACCGUAAAAACCCAGCGAU